This 406-nucleotide ribosomal RNA is filed under the name uncultured bacterium. RNAcentral describes it as "partial 16S ribosomal RNA". It matches the Rfam family "Bacterial small subunit ribosomal RNA", at positions 30 to 526 of the family's 1533-position model. The record is from RNAcentral.
AUUGAACGCUGGCGGCAGGCCUAACACAUGCAAGUCGAACGAGUGGCGGACGGGUGAGUAAUGUCUGGGAAACUGCCUGAUGGAGGGGGACAACUACUGGAAACGGUAGCUAAUACCGCAUACCAUCGGAUGUGCCCAGAUGGGAUUAGCUAGUAGGUGGGGUAAAGGCUCACCUAGGCGACGAUCCCUAGCUGGUCUGAGAGGAUGACCAGCCACAAUGGGAAUGAGACACGGGUCAGACUCCUACGGGAGGGAGCAGUGGGGAAUAUUUGCAAAGGGGGGGCAGCCUGAUGCAGCCAUGCCGCGUGUAUGAAGAAGGCCUUCGGGUUGUAAAGUACUUUCAGCGGGGAGGCGUUACCCGCAGAAGAAGCACCGGCUAACUCCGUGCCAGCAGCCGCGGUAAUUC